Molecule: long non-coding RNA, 4579 nt
Organism: Canis lupus familiaris (dog)
Lineage: Eukaryota; Metazoa; Chordata; Mammalia; Carnivora; Canidae
Exons: 3
Source: RefSeq, a predicted model, not a curated record
GAAGAGUCGGACGCUUAAUGAACUGAGUCACCCAGGCAUCCCUACCCACAUUUUUCUCAAGAUUUGGUGGCACCAACAGGAUCCAAAGUGAACUUCUGACAGCAUUUGGGGACGAUGAGAACAUAGGCAUGGUACCUGAGAAGCUCUGGAGUUCCUAUCUUUGUCACCCUGUUGAGGGGCAUGCGGGCCUCAAAGCUCGGUCUUCUGGACCCUUUGAACACUUGGAGCUGUACUUCAAUCAACUGCCUGCCACUUAGUGUGGCUUAUCAUUAGGUUCUUGUUAUUGUAUGUGUGUUUUCUAGAUGGGUUGAGAUUUCCCUUGUUGUAUGACUGAUGCCCUCACAGGAAAAACCAACCAAUCAACCAAACUUUAAGAAUAUGUUUCCCACUUAGGGUAUAAUUUCCACUAUCUCCAGUGAUCAAGGCAGCCAUUUCACUGGACAAAUCAUUUGAGCCCAACAAAAACCCUACAAACUUCUUGGAAUUCUAUCACAUAAAGAAGGUACACAACCUUCUGGUCUCUUGUUGCCUCAUGCUUGUAUGACGACGAGCUACUAUAAAUCUCUAAUGUCUUAUGCUCAGGCCUGUGUCAACCACAGAUUCAAGAAGCUUUCCUGGAUCCCAAUUCAAAGAAACCUGUUAGUCACAGAAUUUGGUGAGUGUAUAAACGUCACCAGAGGAAAAUCACACUCCAGCCCCACUGGAAAGAAGACCUUAGCAGGUGCUCCUGACCACUGACACUGCUGCAAAACUAAAAACCAUUAAGUCUUGGGUACACAGCAUACAGAGAAGGCUCCACCUGGUCCUGUACAGAUGCUAGAGACCUCCACAUCAAACUGAUGAGGAAGAGAAGUAGCUGACAGACAGGCAGGCUGAUUCCACCCCAAAUGAUGGAUGGAGACUUCAUUCGCUAACUAAACGUAAACCCCUUUCUCCUUUUCCUUUCCUUCACUCUGGCCUUGCCCUGGAAAGACAACACCCUCAUCUGUAUCUCCCAGGCUAAGGGAGGGGGUAGUGGGUAUAACCUCUGGAAUUUAAAACCACCUUUUAUUUCAGGCUAGGAGAAGAUCAAACUGUGCCUCUAAGCAAAAUAAGGGAUCUCUUUGGUUGACUCUCCUAAAUUUACAUUGUUGGAAUUAAAAAGGAGACAUUCAUGAUUCAGAUUCACUCUUUUUCAUAGGUCUCUAUUUCCCUGGUUAGGGAUACAAAUAAAUGAGGCUAUGAUCAAUUCUCAAAAUUACUGCAAAGUCUGCUGCUAAAGCAAUAGUAGCACAACAAAGAUCCUAAGACUCUCCAGCCAAAGUUGUCCUUGAUUAUCUUUUAGCUGAGGCAAGGAGGUGGAUUGUCUGUGUUGUGGCCAAUACCACCUCGUAUGCUUGGAUUUAACACUUAUGGUGAAGUUAGAACUCAAUUAUAGAAGAUCACUGAGCAAGGCACUGGGCUUAAAAAGAUGACUCCUUCAGCAGAAUCUUUUUUUGACUAUUUAUUUUUGAUUGGUUUGGUUGGGUCUUGGGGACCAUGGCUCUAAAGUAUACUCCAACUAUCGGGGAUUAUCCUAAUAAUAAUAACAAUCUAUGGUAAUAGUAUUCUCUUUGGUAAAUUAUAUUCUCUGAAAAGCUUUAAAUGUAUGUUCACUGUCACUAAUCACCAAAUGAUUUAAGUCUGGAACAUAAACCUGAUGUUGUGACUAUAAAUAUCAUAGAGAUUAAGGAAAAGCAUCAUGACCUAUAGGAACCACACAAAGAACAACAAUAGCUGUGAGAACUACAAAAGGGUAAUUGAGAGUUAGUGUAAUGCCUUAAAUUUUGGUCACAUCUCUCAGUUAGGCUGAGAGUCUAAUAAAAAGGAGGAACUGUUAAAAAGAAAACCACAGGCCCCAAAUGGCAUCACUCAGAAUGAGUUUCCAAACCAGGGCUUAAUAUAUAAUUUAAUUGCAGUUUCAACCUUCCUCAGAAAUGCAGUCUUAACUGGUAAGUCAGAAAUUUAUUGAUGGGUACCCACCUGAGCCCUCUCCCACCCCUCAAAGGAAGAGGAGGAGUCUGCAUAAGAUGCUCUGCUCUUCCUUCUAAGGGAAGUGUCUUUGCCUGAAACCAUCCUUUUCUUUUGCUAAUAACCUUCUUGCCCCACUCUUCUUUUAUUAAAACCUUCCAUUUUGUACAACUCCUCAGAGCACCCCCAUUCAUGCAUCAUUUAAUAAAUCCAAUUAGAUCUUAAAAAUUUACUUGGUUAAAUUUUUGUUAUUUAACAAGCAUACUGUAAAAAGCUUGAAAAAUUUAGAAAAGUACAAAGAAAAAUCACUCCUCAUUCUACCACGUAGACAUAACAAUAUGAGGUAUGGUUGACCCUUGAACAACAUAAGGGUUGGGUGCCAAACUCCCACAGUUAAAAAUCCGCAUAUAAUUUCUGAUUCCCCAGAAACGUAACUACUAAUAAUCUACUGAUCAGAAAGAAGUCAGUAAUCCUGCUUUUAAUUUAUCAUUCUGACAUAUGCAUUUCAUCACAUUAUUAAAUACUCUUCAGAAGCCCUUUCUAGUGCCUGCAUAAUAUUUCACUGUCUGCCUGUAUCACAAUUUCCUUAAUAAUUCCCUUUCUGUUGGAGAUUUAGGUUGUUUGGUAAUUUAAUAUAAUGUAAUAUUUUUUAUUAUGUCCUUUGAACAGAUUCCUUAAAAAUUCUAAGUAAAAGGCUACAGACAUUUUAAGGAUUUUGUUAAAAUGUAAUUUAGGAAGAAUUAUAAUCCUGGAAUAGAAUUUGAUGACUUAAUAUUUGCAUGAUCGACAGCAUCAUCCCAGUUGGGAGGGAGCGGAAGCAGAUGACAAGUAAUACUACUACAGUCUUUAUUUUGUUCCCCAAAAGGGAAAAAUAAACAAAGGCAGAAAAUUCAAGCGACUUUAUAAAUACAGUAAGGAAGUCAAUGUCACUGUUAUUAGUUACAAAAGACACCUAUUAUAAUGUCCUUUUUUCUCUUAAAGCAUGAUGUUUUCUAUUUCUUUGGUACUCCCUGAGUUUGGUGUCUUUCUUGAGAAUAAAAAAAAAAACAUUCCACUGCAUAUUCACUGAGAGAAGCUAAAAGGAGAUAUACGACUGGUAAGUUAAGAAUGAAAAGAAAGAAAAAUACUUUCUCAGUUCUCAGGACCCUCCAUACAAGAGGACAAAGGGUGGAAACAGGAUGCAGGAAGUUUGCAACCCAGUGGUCGAGGUUGUGAAGUAGGUUAAUAGAAGGUGACUUCAAAACUUGUCUCUCAGAAUUUUAGAUUCAAUUUUGGAACUGAGAGACCUUGACUACACACAACAUUUUUUCAAAUCUAACAACAGCAAAUCUCACUAUUCACAUAAAAUGAUGUUUUACUUACUUCUAUAUUGCUCCUUUCUCUCUCACAUUCUUCUGUUCCUUAAUCCUAACACAAAGAGCUUUAAAUAGAAACCCCCUAAUAGAUUUGGCUUUGGAACACAUGACAUCUUUUUAGAAGACUUACUCUCCUAGCUACAAUUUUAUUAAAAUCAGUGCAUAAUCCCAGAGGAUUAUGGAAACUGGAAAUAAAGUAAAAGUAAAAAAAAAAAAAAAAAAAAUUGGUAAGAAUGAAACACAGGAGAAGAAAAAAGAUUUGAUGUUUUAAAAAGGCCUUAAGUUAAUGAGUAGGUAAUGUACAGACGGCUUAGAGGUGGACUGAGUACCAUUCUGCUCACAGAGUGCUGCUUUCACUUCCAAAGUGGUGGCACCCAUUCCCAUUCCUAUUCCUACAGGCACUGAGGAGAGUUCCACCUCCUGGUCCACUCUUUUGGUGCCUGACAGAAUAAUACCCUUACCAAAAAGACUGUCAUUGGCCAGGAAUCUCUCCCUGGCACCAUUAUCAUGCUGGCAGCUCUCUACAUAAAGCACAGCAAACUCUGGAGGCAUCUAUAGUAGCAGUACCAUUUAAUUAUACUUUGUAAUGUAAUGUUAUGGAACAUAAUGUUUUAUAAUAUAAUGUUGACUCAUAGGACUUUAAAACCUAUCAGAGUUUUCUAAGCCUGACAGGAAGUACACAUUUAUUUGCAACUUUGGUAUUUGUAUGAUAUUCACCUACUUGUAAGUAACAUGACAAGAAUGAUGUAUCCAGAUGAGUUUGUUGAAUCUCUGGUGGCCACUGGAACACAGCUGGAGCCCCACAUGGAAACUCUGAUCUGCUUCUUGUACAGGGACCCGACGGAAGUAUCUGUAUUUAUAGUCAAGUGGUUUCUAUAAAAGAGAAAGUGUAUGAGCUAUAAUGAAACCUCCCCUCAUUGAUACAUAAUAUGUUCCUAUAGUAUUUAUAUGUAAGAGUGAUACUAAAAGUAACAUAAUAACUGCACAUGGUACAGGGUUCUUGGGUAUCAAAUGAGAAGGUGUAUGAGGCCCUGAAAAAUGUUAAGCACUCUAAAAAUAAGGUUUUUCUCUCCAUCAUCAUCUCAGUUAAUCAACAUAAUAACCCUAAGUGUUAAAUAUGAUUGUACAGCAGCCCCGGUGGCUCAGCAGUUUAGUGCCGCCUUCAGCCCAGGGCCUGAUCCUGGAGACCCAGGAUCAAGUCCCACGUCCGGCUCCCUGCAUGUAGCCUGCUUCUC